AGUGAACGCUGGCGGUAGGCCUAACACAUGCAAGUCGAACGGCAGCACAGUAAGAGCUUGCUCUUACGGGUGGCGAGUGACGGACGGGUGAGGAGUACAUCGGAAUCUACUUUUUCUUGGGGGAUAACGUGGGGCAACUUACGCUAAUACCUCAUACGACCUACCGGUUGAAGCAGUGGAUCUUCGGACCUUUGGCGAUUGAAUUAGCCGAUGUCGGAUUAGCUAGUUGGCGGGGUAAAGGCCCACCAAGGCAACGAUGCGUAGCUGGGCUGAGAGGAUGAUCAGCCACACUGGAACUGAGACACGGUCCAGACUCCUACGGGAGGCAGCAGUGGGGAAUAUUGGACAAUGGGCGAAAGCCUGAUCCAGCCAUGCCGCGUGGGUGAAGAAGGCCUUCGGGUUGUAAAGCUCUUUUGUUGGGAAAGAACAACAGCAGGUUAAUCCACCGAUGUUCUGACGGUACCCAAAGAACAAGCACCGGCUAACUUCGUG
RNAcentral lists this ribosomal RNA (492 nucleotides) under uncultured bacterium. RNAcentral describes it as "partial 16S ribosomal RNA". It matches the Rfam family "Bacterial small subunit ribosomal RNA", at positions 29 to 507 of the family's 1533-position model. The record is from RNAcentral.